CAGUCAAUUAUUUGGCAAAUUUUACCGAUUCUUUACAGAGCUACAACUGUACUUCUGUGUCCCGAUUAUUGCGGAUACAGGCUUUAUCCUCACACACUCAGAUUCGAUUUCGUUGUUCGAUAAUUACUUUGCUGGAAAAAAUCGGUUAAGCGAAAAAACUACCGAGUUUCGGUAAUCACAGCCAAUUUUUCAAGAGUUCGGUAAUUUUGUUACCGGUUUAUUUGUAAUUUGCUACUGUGACAGCUGUGCAAAAGCGUCCAGAGAAGCACAACUUACCUCGGAGGUGGUCGUCCAAAGAGUGGCCUAUUCGUUGCAUGUGUCUUAUGCGUAUUCGUUGAGGGAGCACCGUAUAACGGAUUCGAGCUGUCAUACACUCAAAUUAAUUUACUGAUAGAAUUUAAGUGCAGAAAGCACAUCGCUUGCGAACGGGAAAGAAAAAAAUCAUUCUAAGUGCAACAAAUAAAAAUUAAAACUGACUUCAUUAAAAUUUAUUUUUCCUGUAUUAUGUUUAGAGUGUAGUAACAUAAAAUGCAACCCUGUCAAAAUAAAAUUCAAAAACCAAUCAUAACAAACGUAAAAUGGACAUGGCGCGCGCAGGAGACGCACAGUUUGUAGCGAACAAUUGCGGUAUUUAUUUUCAACAUGGUGCUCAACAGAACUAAUUUGCCGCCCAAGUUGCUGAAGGUAAGUAACUUAUUCUUCAGACUAUAGAAUUUUGUUCAAACUAUGUAAUUUUUUGUACUUUCUACAUUUGCACUACAACGUCGACCGCUCUUUCACCGUCACCAAGGACGAACGAUUUUGUUGGGAGCUGCCGGAAAAAGCUGCGACCGGGACGUGCUGUUUGACCAGAGUUCAGCUUGGUGGAAGCUCAACGGUUUCGAUUGUGGUGGUAUCAUCAAAGUGGAAGUUUUGGAAGAGUCAGAAGAAGAGAGUGUUUGCCAUGACAACUCGGAGGCAAGAGGAGGCAGAAGGAAGAGAGCUCGAGUACACCAAUGGAAUAGACCCUCAUGCGCGCCCUCCAUCAGACCCGGAAUCAAGCGAUUCAACUGGACAUCAAUCUUUUUGGCCCGUCGUUAUAGAAUCUAUGACAACUGCAUUGGCCGUGGCAUUAGCGGGGCUCCUUAUUCGUCGGCCGUGGCAUCGGCGGAUCACCUAGACAAUCAUUUGCGUUAGCAAGUGGCACGUACGUUGUGAAAUGUCCGGCUGUGAACGUUGGAUGCAGCUCUAAUUCCCCAAAAACAACAAGCAAGCACAUCAACGCAAUCGGUGGCACCAACCAACGGUAAA
Aedes albopictus (Asian tiger mosquito) is the source of this 1290-nucleotide long non-coding RNA. RefSeq lists it as uncharacterized. The transcript is spliced from 2 exons. The record is from RefSeq and is a predicted model, not a curated record. NCBI's taxonomy places the organism in Eukaryota, Metazoa, Arthropoda, Insecta, Diptera, Culicidae.